Molecule: ribosomal RNA, 254 nt
Filed under: uncultured bacterium
Lineage: Bacteria
Description: partial 16S ribosomal RNA
Rfam family: Bacterial small subunit ribosomal RNA
Source: RNAcentral
UACGGAGGAUCCGAGCGUUAUCCGGAAUUACUGGGCGUAAAGAGUUGCGUAGGUGGCAGAGUAAGCAAGCAGUGAAAUCGUGUGGCUCAACCAUACACCCAUUGCUUGAACUGCUCAGCUAGAGGAUGAGAGAGGUUAUUGGAAUUCCCAGUGUAGGAGUGAAAUCCGUAGAUAUUGGGAGGAACACCGAUGGCGUAGGCAGAUAACUGGCUCAUUCCUGACACUCAGGCACGAAAGCGUGGGGAGCAAACGGG